CAGCAAGAGCCACUCAGACUAGCCAAUGUGACUGCCCAUGAGACCCCACACCAAGGCUAAUUAAACCUUAAGCGAGGAUAAAGACACAAGCAAUCCUUGGCUACCAGAGGUAAGGCCCUUGCAG
Molecule: microRNA precursor, 124 nt
Filed under: Triticum urartu
Lineage: Eukaryota; Viridiplantae; Streptophyta; Magnoliopsida; Poales; Poaceae
Source: RNAcentral